This is a non-coding RNA of Pelobates cultripes (western spadefoot toad), 220 nucleotides long. Lineage: Eukaryota; Metazoa; Chordata; Amphibia; Anura; Pelobatidae. The record is from the annotation of a GenBank genome assembly.
CACCAUCCGUUGGAAGGUAGCCGGUGCAUUUUUCAUCCCAAAAGGCAUGACCUUAAAUUGGUACAGGCCAAAUGGGGUGACAAAUGCCAACUUGGGGAUAGCAUCCUCGGCCAGGGGGAUCUGCCAGUAGCCCUUACACAGGUCUAUGGUGGUCAGAUAUCGUCCCCUGGCAAUACGAUCCAGUAAUUCGUCUACCCGGGGCAUUGGGUAGGCGUCAGUG